GGGUGAGUAACACGUAUCCAACCUGCCGUCUACUCUUGGACAGCCUUCUGAAAGGAAGAUUAAUACAAGAUGGCAUCAUGAGUCCGCAUGUUCACAUGAUUAAAGGUAUUCCGGUAGACGAUGGGGAUGCGUUCCAUUAGAUAGUAGGCGGGGUAACGGCCCACCUAGUCUUCGAUGGAUAGGGGUUCUGAGAGGAAGGUCCCCCACAUUGGAACUGAGACACGGUCCAAACUCCUACGGGAGGCAGCAGUGAGGAAUAUUGGUCAAUGGGCGAGAGCCUGAACCAGCCAAGUAGCGUGAAGGAUGACUGCCCUAUGGGUUGUAAACUUCUUUUAUAAAGGAAUAAAGUCGGGUAUGCAUACCCGUUUGCAUGUACUUUAUGAAUAAGGAUCGGCUAACUCCGUGCCAGCAGCCGCGGUAAUACGGAGGAUCCGAGCGUUAUCCGGAUUUAUUGGGUUUAAAGGGAGCGUAGAUGGAUGUUUAAGUCAGUUGUGAAAGUUUGCGGCUCAACCGUAAAAUUGCAGUUGAUACUGGAUAUCUUGAGUGCAGUUGAGGCAGGCGGAAUUCGUGGUGUAGCGGUGAAAUGCUUAGAUAUCACGAAGAACUCCGAUUGCGAAGGCAGCCUGCUAAGCUGCAACUGACAUUGAGGCUCGAAAGUGUGGGUAUCAAACAGGAUUAGAUACCCUGGUAGUCCACACGGUAAACGAUGAAUACUCGCUGUUUGCGAUAUACAGCAAGCGGCCAAG
Molecule: ribosomal RNA, 746 nt
Filed under: uncultured bacterium
Lineage: Bacteria
Description: bacterial SSU rRNA
Rfam family: Bacterial small subunit ribosomal RNA
Source: RNAcentral